This 147-nucleotide unclassified non-coding RNA is filed under the name soil metagenome. Its description in RNAcentral is "partial internal transcribed spacer 1". The record is from RNAcentral.
UGGGAUGUUUGAUAUGGAUGUAGUGUGAACGGGAUUGUGCCUGGGGUGGUCUGAGUUGUCUUUGAGGUUACUCGAGCGACCGGCGCCCCACUUGUUAACCACCUUACCAUCUCUUGACUUACCUGGGAUCACUCCCAUGGGAUAAAA